RNAcentral lists this ribosomal RNA (169 nucleotides) under Elatine macropoda. RNAcentral's name for it is "5.8S ribosomal RNA". It matches the Rfam family "5.8S ribosomal RNA". From Rfam's summary of the family: 5.8S ribosomal RNA (5.8S rRNA) is a component of the large subunit of the eukaryotic ribosome. It is transcribed by RNA polymerase I as part of the 45S precursor that also contains 18S and 28S rRNA. Lineage: Eukaryota; Viridiplantae; Streptophyta; Magnoliopsida; Malpighiales; Elatinaceae. The record is from RNAcentral.
AACGACUCUCGGCAACGGAUAUCUCGGCUCUCGCAUCGAUGAAGAACGUAGCGAAAUGCGAUACUUGGUGUGAAUUGCAGAAUCCCGUGAACCAUCGAGUCUUUGAACGCAAGUUGCGCCCGAAGCCUUUUGGCCGAGGGCACGUCUGCCUGGGUGUCACGCAACGUCN